Molecule: unclassified non-coding RNA, 210 nt
Filed under: Hevea brasiliensis (rubber tree)
Lineage: Eukaryota; Viridiplantae; Streptophyta; Magnoliopsida; Malpighiales; Euphorbiaceae
Source: RNAcentral
UGAAAUUGGCAGGUUUUUCACCUGAUAAGGUCACAUAUAAUGCUUUAUUGGACGUUUAUGGGAAGUCUAGGCGGCCUAAGGAGGCUAUGGAGGUGUUAAGGGAAANGUAAUGGAUUCUCUCCUAGUAUUGUGACUUACAAUUCACUAAUAUCAGCUUAUGUGAGAGACUCUCUAUUGAGGGAAGCAAUGGAGCUUAAAGCCCAAAUGGUG